UUUAUUGAGAGUUUGAUCCUGGCUCAGGACGAACGCUGGCGGCGUGCUUAACACAUGCAAGUCGAGCGAUGAAGCUCCUUCGGGAGCGGAUUAGCGGCGGACGGGUGAGUAACACGUGGGUAACCUGCCUCAUAGAGGGGAAUAGCCUUUCGAAAGGAAGAUUAAUACCGCAUAAGAUUGUAGUGCCGCAUGGCAUAGCAAUUAAAGGAGUAAUCCGCUAUGAGAUGGACCCGCGUCGCAUUAGCUAGUUGGUGAGGUAACGGCUCACCAAGGCGACGAUGCGUAGCCGACCUGAGAGGGUGAUCGGCCACAUUGGGACUGAGACACGGCCCAGACUCCUACGGGAGGCAGCAGUGGGGAAUAUUGCACAAUGGGGGAAACCCUGAUGCAGCAACGCCGCGUGAGUGAUGACGGUCUUCGGAUUGUAAAACUCUGUCUUCAGGGACGAUAAUGACGGUACCUGAGGAGGAAGCCACGGCUAACUACGUGCCAGCAGCCGCGGUAAUACGUAGGUGGCAAGCGUUGUCCGGAUUUACUGGGCGUAAAGGGAGCGUAGGUGGAUAUUUAAGUGGGAUGUGAA
This is a ribosomal RNA of 580 nucleotides. It matches the Rfam family "Bacterial small subunit ribosomal RNA", at positions 1 to 598 of the family's 1533-position model.